GUAGGUGAACCUGCGGAAGGAUCAUUAACACGUAUCCAACGUUAAAAACCCUGUGAACCUUCAACCUGCUCUUGCAGCCCGUGUGAAGCAGCAAUCUCGGUAAAUCAAGUGGGAGGAAAGCUUUUGAUUCGAGACCUCUGCUCCACACGCGACGGCGCUGCAAUCGAAGCGGUGGACGCAAUUUGGCAUGUUUUCCCCAAGCCGCCAAUGAAUUGGAAAGUGUCAUUGGACUCCGGUGCAAGGAGGACGACUAAUUCCCGGUGCUAGAGGUCGAUCACCGACCGGCAACAUGCCCUGUGCCGCCCGUGCACCUAAUGACCCCUCUGAAGCAUUAAUGGCCCCGAGGAAACUCCGGGUAUCAAAAAACCGAACAACUGUUAACAAUGGAUAUCUUGGUUCUC
RNAcentral lists this unclassified non-coding RNA (401 nucleotides) under rhizosphere metagenome. Its description in RNAcentral is "partial ribosomal RNA internal transcribed spacer region". The record is from RNAcentral.